UUUACAGGAAUUUUAGCAGUAUCUUGUGAACAAGAUAAAGGAAACCAGAAAGCACUGAUUUGCGGGGAAGCUAAGGCAAGCCAGCUGGUAUCAGGAAUAGCUUUCGAAAGCAGCUGAUUAGGAUAGAUUCUGCAACACUCACUCACCCGUCAAAUAGUAACAAGGACCUUUUGCUAGUGAGCCACAGGCAGACUGUGUUGAAAAUCAGGCCUGCAUUGCAGAGAUAAGGGGAGAAAAUGCACAGGAGUGACAGGUUUCCUGCGCAGAAAAUGAGGACCCUGAUAAAGAAGACUUAAGAUGGGAAUAUUUGGAUGCAUGAGUCCAAAAAUGCUAGAGCCUCCAGAUUCUUCUGGGCUAUCUCAGUCAGCAGAAGCAGCCUCUUUCUCCGUGUCUGGAGGUGGAGAAAGCAGCCUGGAGACCAUUACAACCUUGACCUGAGAAAGAUGCCAUGGGAGGUGAGGCUUGUCUUCCUCAAGAUUCAUCAUCACCUUGCUUUAUUCCUCCAGACCAGUA
This 513-nucleotide long non-coding RNA is filed under the name Homo sapiens (human). RNAcentral's name for it is "HSALNT0308163". The record is from RNAcentral. Lineage: Eukaryota; Metazoa; Chordata; Mammalia; Primates; Hominidae.